Molecule: signal recognition particle RNA, 98 nt
Filed under: Bacteriovoracales bacterium
Lineage: Bacteria; Pseudomonadati; Bdellovibrionota; Bacteriovoracia; Bacteriovoracales
Also listed under: 1 other name
Description: signal recognition particle sRNA small type
Rfam family: Bacterial small signal recognition particle RNA
About the family: The signal recognition particle (SRP) is a universally conserved ribonucleoprotein involved in the co-translational targeting of proteins to membranes. Archaeal SRP consists of a 7S RNA and homologues of the eukaryotic SRP19 and SRP54 proteins.
Source: RNAcentral
AGUUAGGUCUUUAUCAAUAGUAUUUUCUGGCCAACUCCGCCAGGCCCGGAAGGGAGCAACGGUAACCAGGGUACUAUGUGAUAAUUGACCUAGCUGCC